CCUACGGGAGACAGCAGUGAGGAAUAUUGGUCAAUGGGCGCGAGCCUGAACCAGCCACGUCGCGUGAAGGAUGACUGACCUACUUGUUGUAAACUUCUUUUAUAAAGGAAUAAAUUGAGGCACGUGUGCCUUUUUCUAUGUCCUUUAUGCAUAAGGAUCGGCUAACUCCUGGCCAGCAGCCGCGGUACUACGGAUGAUCCGAGCGUAAUCCGGAUUUAUGUGGUUUAAGGGGAGCGUAGACGGGUUAGUAAGUCAGAUGUGAAAGUUUGCGGCUCAACCGUAAAAUUGAACUUGAUACUGUAAGUCUUGAGUGCAGGUGCGGUAGGCGGAAUUCGUGGUGUAGCGGUGAAAUGCUUAGAUAUCACGAAGAACACCGAUGGCGAAGGCAGCUUACUAAACUGUAACUGACGUUGAUGCUCGAAAGUGUGGGGAGCAAACAGGAUUAGAUACCCCUGUAGUC
Molecule: ribosomal RNA, 460 nt
Filed under: uncultured bacterium
Lineage: Bacteria
Description: partial 16S ribosomal RNA
Rfam family: Bacterial small subunit ribosomal RNA
Source: RNAcentral